Molecule: ribosomal RNA, 490 nt
Filed under: uncultured bacterium
Lineage: Bacteria
Description: partial 16S ribosomal RNA
Rfam family: Bacterial small subunit ribosomal RNA
Source: RNAcentral
AUUGAACGCUGGCGGCAGGCCUAACACAUGCAAGUCGAACGGUAACAGGAAGCAGCUUGCUGCUUUGCUGACGAGUGGCGGACGGGUGAGUAAUGUCUGGGAAACUGCCCGAUGGAGGGGGAUAACUACUGGAAACGGUAGCUAAUACCGCAUAACGUCGCAAGACCAAAGAGGGGGACCUUAGGGCCGCUGGCCAUCGGAUGUGCCCAGAUGGGAUUAGCUAGUAGGUGGGGUAACGGCUCACCUAGGCGACGAUCCCUAGCUGGUCUGAGAGGAUGACCAGCCACACUGGAACUGAGACACGGUCCAGACUCCUACGGGAGGCAGCAGUGGGGAAUAUUGCACAAUGGGCGCAAGCCUGAUGCAGCCAUGCCGCGUGUAUGAAGAAGGCCUUCGGGUUGUAAAGUACUUUCAGCGGGGAAGAAGGGAGUAAAGUUAAUCCCUUUGCUCAUUGACGUUACCCGCAGAAGAAGCACCGGCUAACUCCGUG